Mesocricetus auratus (golden hamster) is the source of this 456-nucleotide long non-coding RNA. RefSeq lists it as uncharacterized. The transcript is spliced from 3 exons. NCBI's taxonomy places the organism in Eukaryota, Metazoa, Chordata, Mammalia, Rodentia, Cricetidae. The record is from RefSeq and is a predicted model, not a curated record.
ACCACACUGGAAACUAAAGAUAAAAGAGGAUUCUCAAGAGAUAAUUUCUUCACAACAAGGAUAAAACGCAUGGUCAGUCUGGAAAGUAUAUACAUACAGGGUAAGAAUUGACAUAAGUUUUGAAAACAACAUGAGAUGUAACUACAGGAGACACCUAAAAUGAAGAAAAAGAGAGCUUGAAAAUCCAGGACAUUAGACACAAAGCACCUUCAGAUGACUCACAUCUAUCUCUCCAUAUGUCCAAAAGCAGAAGACUGUGAUACAAGCCCAGAAUUCUUUGUCAUAUUAUUAACAACAGAAGACAGCCAGACUCACUUUUCUUUGCUCCAGAUCCUAAUAUUAGUUUUCACAACAUCUUCUUGGCCUACCACUACCAGUAAUGCAUGAUGACUUGGGAAUCCUACCCAGAACUAAAUAACUUUACCUCCCACAGUAAAGGUGGCAUAGUUCCCAACU